ACUGAGCAUGCUUUCAUUUAUUCAAUUAACAGUUAUAAGAAGACUGUAUAUUCAAGGCAUGUUUGGGUGCCGAAAUAAGAAACAGUCAUGUCCUCAAGCAGCUUGCAAUUUAAUCCAGGAGAGAGAGAAGUGGACAAGAAAUUGCAAUGCCAGGUGAGCCACAAGAGAUCUUCCUUUGUUUUUCAUGGUGAGAACUUGCUGGAACUCCUGGAAACAAAAACCAUAGAACUGUUGGUGCCUCCCAAGACUGCAGUCUCCAGUAGCUUCACUCACCCUAUGCCCACCCAGUCUCCAGGAGUUCAUCAAAAUUACCAUUCAAGCAUUCGUCCAUUAUGGCUUCAGAGACUUCUG
RNAcentral lists this long non-coding RNA (351 nucleotides) under Mustela putorius furo (domestic ferret). RNAcentral describes it as "lncRNA (ENSMPUG00000030939.1)". The record is from RNAcentral. Lineage: Eukaryota; Metazoa; Chordata; Mammalia; Carnivora; Mustelidae.